Molecule: ribosomal RNA, 387 nt
Filed under: uncultured bacterium
Lineage: Bacteria
Description: bacterial SSU rRNA
Rfam family: Bacterial small subunit ribosomal RNA
Source: RNAcentral
GACGAACGCUGGCGGCGUGCUUAACACAUGCAAGUCGAACGGAAAGGCCCUUUCGGGGGUGCUCGAGUGGCGAACGGGUGAGUAACACGUGGGUGAUCUGCCCUGCACUUCGGGAUAAGCUUGGGAAACUGGGUCUAAUACCGGAUAGGACCAUGGGAUGCAUGUCUUGUGGUGGAAAGCUUUUUGUGGUGUGGGAUGGGCCCGCGGCCUAUCAGCUUGUUGGUGGGGUGAUGGCCUACCAAGGCGACGACGGGUAGCCGGCCUGAGAGGGUGUCCGGCCACACUGGGACUGAGAUACGGCCCAGACUCCUACGGGAGGCAGCAGUGGGGAAUAUUGCACAAUGGGCGUAAGCCUGAUGCAGCGACGCCGCGUGGGGAUGACGGCCU